UCUUUAUUAUUCAAAAUUAUUAAUUGUCCUAUAUACUUUAGCCAUAUUAGGCAAUUCCGUAAUCUUAUUUAAGGAAAUAAUGAAGCACAUUAAUCAUGUAUUUAUUGUGUUUAAUAAAAAGCUUAUUAUACAUUUAGAUGGACCAACUUAUUUCUCUAAAAAUUCUAAGAAUCAUUCUAGUGAUGACAUGUGGCUACAAAAAAUAUUGCAAUGUUUCUAAAAAUAUGGCUAACUAACAAAAAAGGGAAAAUAAGAAUAAAUGCACCAGCCGGGAAUCAAACCCGGGUCUGUACCGUGGCAGGGUACUAUUCUACCACUAGACCACUGGUGCUUAACGAUAUGCGGGGUUGAUAAUAAGAUAUUAUCAAAAUUUGUACUUACUGACGUACGUUUACAUUGUUAACAUCACUGAAUUUUUUCGGUAUCAUUAAGGUGUUACUGUUAGGUUAGUAAACUCAUGCCAAAGUGGGUCGGCGAGCUCCAUUGUGAAACGUAGGAAUGUGUAAGGUAAUGAUGAUCUAUCUUGACUAAUUCAACUAAACACUUUAUUCUAUUUUUCGUCUGCAAUCAAUUACGUACUUGGUGCUUUGUUUUGGUUAUAUAAGUUUAACAUGUGUUUCUUAUGAUCCAUUUGCUUUCUACUCUUUCUGUUUUCGUCAUGCAUUGCACAAGACUGCUCGGUGGAAAAAGUUUAGUAGUUUUUGUCAAUCAACUAUCUUUUUUUUUUUUUUGAAAAAGUUGUCACAUUGUUCUGCUCACCACAGCUGCGGAUACGUUCGCAUGAAAACCUGGGAGAGGUUUUGUCGUAGGCUACACCUCCCAACCGAGGAUUAAAUUUGUGUUUUUAAUAGAUCCAGAUUUAACCCCCUUGUCAAUCUACUAUCGUGUGGAAAUCAUAUCUUUCCUCCUCUAUUUCUCUCUCAAACAUCAAAUUCAACACAAGAAUAGAAAUGAAGACUUUUAAGAGUAUAACUGGACAGGAAAACGGCUUGUCAAUGAAAGAAUAGCAGAAUCUCUAAGGCAAAUUAUAAAUUCUAUUAAAAAAAUUCAAGCACGAUCACCAUGUGCUAUUUAUUCUUCGCUUUGGACAAAACGGUAUCUAUUCUUGAUAGUGACCUUAACAAGGCUUCUUGCUAAAGCAUGCAUGCACAGUCCACAAUAUGAAUUUUGAGUUUUCCUUUGCAGAGUAAUCUUUUCAGUGGUCCUCUUGCCAGAGCAUAAUCACAUUUGUUGUGUGUAUGACUAGAGUCGGUUUUGGACAACGCGUGAUAAACAUUUGUACAAAUUUUAAAGAAUUCUUAUAUAUAUUACAUAGUUUCCAAAUUAUAAUUUGUAUUAAUAUUUAUCUUUUUAUGGAUCUCUUCCCCUAAUUUUAUGACUGGCCCUGUGUAUAAAUGUAUAUAGUGAAAAUGUAUGUAUAUAUAUAUAUAUAUAUAUAUGUUGCACAAAAAAACAAAAAAAAAUAUAUAUAUGGUGCUGAUAAAAAGACCUGAGAUUCAGUUAGCUUAAACUGACAGUUUAAUUCUUGGAAACCACUCAUGACUGAUUAUUCCCUCUUAUUUAUAUCACUGGCUAUCCCUACAAAAUUUAGCUUAAAAGCUCUGCGCUAUGAACUAUAUUAAUGAACAAGGAAAAUAAGAAAUAUGAUCAAUUGUUUACAGAGUAUGGCUCACCCUAAACGAAGCAUUGUGUAACUUCACUUCUUUGGUUCCAUAGUAUUUUGUAGACACUGCUUAUGAGCAUAUAUUAGAAAAAUAUAGCUAGUUAGAGCACCUCUAAAAAUGAAUAUGUGUGUAUGUAUAUAUUGUAUAUAUGUAUGUAGUUGUGGAGUCUACUAAAUAGUGUAGAACUCCUACCCAAAAGUUCUAAAAACAAAAUUUUUUUUUUCUUUUUAACUUUUUUUCUUUUAUUUAUAUAACAAAUGACUACAAAAAAAGGCUCAAGCCUAUUGUUAGGACAAAAGCCUACUACCAAAAUUUAAAACUCAACCUCAAAAAAUUACUCUAUACAACUUCUAAAAGACUGCAAACCAAGCUGAGAGCACUGAGAUCUCUCCUUGUUUCAGAACUUGAGCUCGAACCAAAGGAUCAAGGCGUAAUCUAUCAUUUGCUUAAUCUCAUCAAUCAGCGCCCCCGGUUGUCGAGUAUUUCCAGAGUGUAUUUCGAGUUUCUUUCCCUCCAAAUCAGAUAUAGACAAGCUUGGUAAAGCAGCUUCACUAUCAACUUCACAUUUUUGUCUUUAGAUGGAUUCUUCAGCCAGCGCAACCCACUCUCGAAUUGUGCUGGAGGAGAAAGGCGUAAUCUAUCGACAAAGUGAGACCACACAUGCCUGCUGAAAGCACAAUCAAAAAAGAGAUGCUGCCUAUUCUUUCCUGUUAAAAACAAAACUUUUAGAACUUUUGGGUAAGAGUUCUACACUAUUUAGUAGAUCCCACAACUAUAUACACAUAUAUAAUACAUACAUAUUUAUUUUUAGAACUCCAAUGGAUAAAAGAUAUAUUCUCUGAUGUGUCUAAACUUCGAUUCAACCACUAAGAAGGGUAAUGGAAUGGGAUAAAAAAAAUCAUUUAUUCAAUGUUCUUAUAUUUUAUUUUCAGUUAAUCGAAAAUGAACUAUUUUACUAUACUCCAGGUAAAGUUAAUUAAAUGUGUCAAAAAAAGGAAUUAUACAAAUAAAUUCUAAUAUUAUUUUAAUUGGAAGCUAAAGAGGCAAUAAUCCACGAUCUCCUAUAACCUUGCUGCCUCCACUUAGUUUUUUUUUGUUGGAAUUGCUUAUAGUCAUAGAUAAUGAGAAGCAGCCAAUGGUGGUAACAGCACUAUGUGAAAAGGUAAUCCACUUUCCUCAACCACAACCUCAGAUUUCCAUUAAUUUUCAUAUAUGAUAAGAGUUGACUCUUAAUUCAAACAAUAAUUAUUCUUAAUUGCUAUUGGAUCCUUACUUAAAUAUUCAAAUUUAGGAAUGAUGUAUUUGGUUUUGGUAGCAUAUCCAUUAAAGAUUUACAACUUUCUCCUGGCAAUGAUCACCAAUAAGCAACAGCCACUUAAAACUCAUUAAUUAAACGCUUAAAACUUGAAUCUAGUAACUCCCUAACCACAUAUCUAUCUGAGGAUUUCUAGAAAAGCUAUAUGGAUCACUCUAGAAGUAGAGGAUAAUGAAUGUCAUUAAAUUAGAUGGGGGUUACAGUAUUAAGCAUAAUUGACCCACUAAUUAAGCCCCUAAUUAAUUAACAUGUGAUUAUUACUGUUACAGUUGGAGCUAUAUGAUUAUGCUUAAGUGUGUCUCUUCUUUUUCAUCCUUUAUCGUGAGUGAUUAUAGAUUUAUAGUAGUAAUAGUGUAGAAUACUGAUCGUAUAACGUCAUGAGUUUGGAUCGUGGUUACAGUAUAAGCAUAAUUAAUCCCCUAAUUAAUUAACAUGUGAUGGUUACUGUUACUGUUGAAGUUAUAUGAUUAUGCUUAAGUGUGCCUGCCUCUUCCUUUUUUCCUUUCUCGCAAGUGAUUAUUGACUUAAAGUAGUACUAGAGUACAAUACUGAUCGUGUAAUGUGGUGGUAGUGGUUAACAACACCAUUAAUAGAUGAGAUGAUAGUGAUAAAAAAUAAUUUUCAAAUAUGGCGGCAAAUUUUUUUUGUCAUUGUUGAAUUUUAGGUAUGGUCUUAAGAAGAUACGUAAGGGAACUCAGAAAUGAUGAUACAUCAAUUGGUAAUCCUACCUAUUUUGGAUAAUAUCUACCUAACUAAGGAUUUUUUUUUACUCAAUCAUGGAGUUGAGAUUGGUUUUGAAGUAACUAAAGAAUGAAAAUUGUGAUUUUAGGAAGUUUAUAUAGUUUUACUGGUCAUGUUUGUCCUCCAAUGAGACUUCAGAAACUAGUGGUAACGCUGCUUAAGAGAAAAUUAGUCAAAUUAAAAAGGUUGUUAUAUUAUUGUAUUGACAUUAAUAAUAAAAAUCUCCAGGAGUUUACAAGGGGUUUGUUUCUCUUUGUAGAUAUAAGGAUCAGAUCCUAGAGGCUACAAGGGGUUUCUCCAGAAUCUUCUGGACCAAAGUUUUGGUAAUUUGGAAUCAUGUGAAUGAGAAGUUUUGUGUGAUGAUUUUAAGUGUUAACUCUCUACUCUUAGAAGUCCAUGUCUUGGUGGUAGCCAAGAGGGAAUCUACACCAAAGGCAUCAAAUCUAUAUGAUAUAUAUAUUCUUCAGGAUCCAUAAGAUUUUCGUAUUGUUAAGCUUCUUCUUAGGUAGGACUAAGAGCACUUCCAUGAAGAUAGAUAUUUAACAAUAAUUUAAUUUAAAAAGGAAAAGAAAUAUAAAGAGUGAUGUCUCAAAUGAGAUAACAUUAGAACUCUAUCUCAUAUUUAAUUUAUAAAUGAUAUUUUGUCAUUGGUUUUUCUCUUUUAAAAAUUACAAUAAUGAAUUUUUCUUAAAUCUAUAUAAAGAAAUUGACAGCCUCUUAUGAAUUCUUUUAUCUGGCGAGUUUGCUUAAAGACCUGAUUAGGAGUUAUAACUUUAAAUCUUUUAAUAUAGAACUCAGCAUGUAAAUUUUGAUGAGAAAAAGACCAAAAUAGCACUAAAUCAAGUUUUUGUUCCCAAACUAGCACUCAAUGCCAAAAGUCACAAAAAUAGCACUCAAGGGGUGGGGUUUAGGGUUUAGAAUUUAUUUAAAGUUUAGAGUUUAGGUUUUAGGGUUUAGAGUUGAGAAGUGAGGUUUUGGGAUAAGAUUUCAAAUUUUGAAAAAUAAAAAAAUUUAAAUUUUUCAAAAGAUAAAAUGCUAUUUUGGUCAUUUUAGUUUUUGAGUGCUAUUUUUGUGAUAUAAACUUAGAAAUGUGCUAUUUUGGAGAUUUGCCCAAUUUUGAUUGUGAGUGAAGUUAUUUUUGGUUGUAUAUUUGAGAAUAAUUAACGAUUUAUUUAUAAAAUUUCUAAAACUUAGUUAUGUUACUUGUAUAGACAUAUUUUUUUGUAGCCCUAGAAAUGUUUUAUAGAACAUGAUUGGAAAAUAUUUGUAUUUUAGAGGAAAAAAACUGGUUGUAGAGAGACGGUAAAACACUUUUAAAGUAUUUAUUAAUCAAGCCCUGAAACUUUAGUUUUUGUCACUUUUGGUUGUUUGGCUUUUUAACUCAAAGUUGUUGAACAAAAAUCAGAAAUGGUCAUCAAAAUCUCUAGUGUUCCAAAAAAAGUCAUCCAAUCUCUGUAGGGUUUUAUCGGACGUCUAUUAUCCAAGAAAUUCAAUGUUAGAGGUUAGAGAUACUUCAAAUACUGAAGUUCUAAUCAAAGGUUGUUUAGCCAUGUUAAGGAUUGUUAAUUGUGCACUUGCUGUUGUUUUAAUCUCGGGAUGCAUAUCACUGUUUGUGGUCUUUAAUUCCCAAGGCUUCGUUUUACUUUUCAGCUCGAUGGUCGUUGAGUUUAGAGGACUUUUUUACGUCAUUGGUUGUUUAAGCGUGGUGUUUGUCUCUAUCUUUAUUUGUUGUAUUUGCUUUCUUGUAAUAGUUGUUUCUUUGGCCAUGAUGGCUAUGUUAUCAUGUUCUGUGAA
Molecule: long non-coding RNA, 5514 nt
Organism: Brassica rapa (field mustard)
Lineage: Eukaryota; Viridiplantae; Streptophyta; Magnoliopsida; Brassicales; Brassicaceae
Source: RefSeq, a predicted model, not a curated record